UAUCAAAAACAUUUCUUCUAAAUGUUAGAGGUAGUCCCUGCUCACUGCUUAGGUAAAGAGCCGCGGUAUUGUGACUGUGCUAAGGUAGCAUAAUAAUUUGCUUUUUAAUUGGGGGCUUGAAUGAAGGGGGUUGACGAAAUAAAAACUUUUUUAAAAGGUUGGUAUAAUUUUAUUUUUAAGUGAAAAAGCUUAGAUUUAUUAAAGAGACGAGAAGACCCCAAGAAUUUAGAUUUAUUAGUUUAGUUUGAUUUAUUAUUAGUUUAAUUGAAUAAGGAAUCUUGGCUGGGGCGGUUUGUGAAUAAAUUAACUUCAUAAUUUAUUUAACUAUUAUUAGGAUGAUUGAAGUUUUAAGAAUUUGAUUGUAAAGUUACCUUGGGGAUAACAGCGUGAUUUUAAUUUAAAGUUCAUAUAAAAAUUAAAGUUUGCGACCUCGAUGUUGGAUUAAGGGUAAAUAUAAAAGUAGCAUUUUAUAAUUUAGGUCUGUUCGACCUUUAAAACC
Molecule: ribosomal RNA, 499 nt
Filed under: Rhizocephala sp. FW10
Lineage: Eukaryota; Metazoa; Arthropoda; Thecostraca
Description: partial 16S ribosomal RNA
Rfam family: Bacterial large subunit ribosomal RNA
Source: RNAcentral